Non-coding RNA from Drosophila virilis, 787 nucleotides. The record is from RefSeq and is a predicted model, not a curated record. Lineage: Eukaryota; Metazoa; Arthropoda; Insecta; Diptera; Drosophilidae.
AUUGUUUCUGUUGUUUUUUUUUUUUCGUUUUAGCUGGGCUUUCGUUAUUGCUGUUUUCUUUUGCCUAGGCCUAUUUCGUUUUUAGUCAAGUCAUUUGUAUGCCCCUGAACCUAUGAGCGCGCACAAUGAUAGUCACGCACACACACACACACACACAUAUACAGCUUUGAAGGGAAGCCCUCCACUUUAUCAUCAAUUCGCUGCGAAUGGUGGCGCGCAUGAAAAACAUUUUUCAUCAACAUGAAUUUCCCGUUAGACAUUUGCUUUGUUUUUUCCCUCCUUUAUUUCUGACACACAUUUUUGAAACUUUUGGCAGUCUUUAUUAUACUUAUUAUCGCUUCAUACUUUGGCCGACGUUUAAAUUGAGCAACGUAUUUUUUUUGUAUUUUUUCUUUCUUUCUUUUCCCUUCUUUUGUUUUUUAUAUGACCUGUGUGUGUAUAUAUUUGUUUUUGUGUGGCUGCUGUCCGAGUUUUCUUGAGCACUCGACUAAAAUGAUGGCAAUUGAUUGGAUUAACAUAAUAUGCUUAACAUAACACCAAAACAGCUACUUAAAGGGAAUUAAAUAGCCGGUCUCUGUCUCAUUUGCGUUUCCUUCAUUUGCUUAAGGUUAUUUUUGUUAUAAGCCGCAAAAUUGCUUGUCGCGUUUUUUUGGAGGAUGCAAAGUGUCUGAUUCCACUUGGAGGACAUAUUUUCAAAAAGCUAGAGAAUAAAAUUAGAUGUAAAAGUCAUCAUAUAUUUGUAAAAAAAUUGGUUAAAAAGAUACUUCAUCUUGGGCAAAAAAUAAAA